This 380-nucleotide ribosomal RNA is filed under the name uncultured eukaryote. RNAcentral describes it as "partial 18S ribosomal RNA". It matches the Rfam family "Eukaryotic small subunit ribosomal RNA", at positions 592 to 976 of the family's 1831-position model. The record is from RNAcentral.
CAAUAGCGUAUAUUAAAGUUGUUGCGGUUAAAAAGCUCGUAGUUGGAUUUCUGCUGAGGACGAUCGGUCCGCCCUCUGGGUGAGUAUCUGGCUCGGCCUUGGCAUCUUCUUGGAGAACGUUACUGCACUUGACUGUGUGGUGCGGUAUCCAGGACUUUUACUUUGAGGAAAUUAGAGUGUUUCAAGCAGGCGCACGCCUUGAAUACAUUAGCAUGGAAUAAUAAGAUAGGACCUUGGUUCUAUUUUGUUGGUUUCUAGAGCUGAGGUAAUGAUUAAUAGGGAUAGUUGGGGGCAUUCGUAUUUAACCGUCAGAGGUGAAAUUCUUGGAUUUGUUAAAGACGGACUACUGCGAAAGCAUUUGCCAAGGAUGUUUUCAUUGA